Molecule: unclassified non-coding RNA, 369 nt
Filed under: soil metagenome
Description: partial contains 5.8S ribosomal RNA, internal transcribed spacer 2, and large subunit ribosomal RNA
Rfam family: 5.8S ribosomal RNA (bases 1-119)
Source: RNAcentral
GAUGAAGAACGCAGCGAAAUGCGAUACGUAAUGUGAAUUGCAAAUUCAGUGAAUCAUCGAGUCUUUGAACGCACAUUGCGCCCGGCAGUAAUCUGCCGGGCAUGCCUGUCCGAGCGUCAUUUCUACCCUCGAGCGAGUCCAGCAUCUAGGUGCUGGGCCUCGCCCGGCGUUGGAGCACUACGGGAAGCCCUGUGCUGUCCCCCGUAGGCCCCGAAAUGAAGUGGCGGUCCUGCCGCGGCGCCCCCUGCGUAGUAUAACAGCUCGCUUCGGGACCCGGUGGAGGCCUGCCGUCAAACCUAUACUCUCUAAGUUUGACCUCGGAUCAGGUAGGGUUACCCGCUGAACUUAAGCAUAUCAAUAAGCGGAGGA